Uranotaenia lowii is the source of this 825-nucleotide long non-coding RNA. RefSeq lists it as uncharacterized. NCBI's taxonomy places the organism in Eukaryota, Metazoa, Arthropoda, Insecta, Diptera, Culicidae. The transcript has 2 exons. The record is from RefSeq and is a predicted model, not a curated record.
AGUGAGGUGAGAGCAAGUGACAGAUACUCAUUCUGAGCUGAGUGACUGGAUGAACCCAUCUAGCAAAAUGGCGAAAUUUGCUCUGAUUGUGUUGUGCCGGUGUUUACGGUUCGGUUUUUGAAAAUUGAAUUUUAAAGUAACGAGUGAAAAUUGUGCCCCGUCCUGGACAAUUAUCGGAUUGUACGGUGUUAGCAAGCUGAUCAAUUAGAAAAAAAAGGACAAAUUUGGCUACAAAAGUGGAAAUUCCAGCCACAGAGAAUUCCAGCCCAGCCCGGAUUUCAGAAACAGCAUCAAACUGGAGCAACAAAAAUUCGAACAGCAUGCAGGGGCAACUGCUGUCUCACAAAUCGGUGCGCAAAAAAGCUUCCGAGUAUCUGCGACAACCUUAGCAGCUAUUUCAGGUUUCCCGAAAUGAGAAAAAACCAGGUUUGGACCAUGGAAACAAUCAGUCGUAUCAUCGGUGUUCAAGUUCGUCUUGCGCUUUUCGAUGGAAUCCAUUUAACUAUUCCGUCCAGUCUGUUUGUUCAUUUCGUUCUUUAUACGACGGAAGAAGAUACCUCGGAACACCGGAUAUACCGGUGGUGACGACUAGAAAGACGAUCUGUGGGAUUUAAAACCGAAUCUGUGAUGAGACCGAAAAUACCGAUGUAUGUAUGUGAAGUGGGAUGUAAGUGACGGCUUCCCCCCAGCGACGGGAAUGUGUUCCGAAAAAGCGUAGGGUUAAUAGUGGCACGUUAUCCAAACAAACGGGAAAAUGGUGCCCUAUAAUAUCGGAUUAAUGGAACAUGAUUUGAAUCUGAUACAAAUAAAGAACAAGUAAAAUGA